RNAcentral lists this long non-coding RNA (520 nucleotides) under Androctonus crassicauda. Lineage: Eukaryota; Metazoa; Arthropoda; Arachnida; Scorpiones; Buthidae. The record is from RNAcentral.
CAUUUUUUAAAAUUACUUUUCUCUGCCGUACAAUGUGCGGUAAGUAAACGAAUACUUAAAGUAGUUUGACUAAAAGAAAGUUGAGAACAGCUGAUUUGGACUAGUGAUAUGAUGUUUGAUUUUAUAAUGAAUAGAGUUAUUAAUUAUUUAACAGCUCUUCGCCUAUUAAAUUGGCGUCCUGUUGCUACAACCCAUUUAGCUCAAUGGUUUUGGCAAUGCUGAAAUGUUGAUUAUAAUUACAAUAUUUGAGAUUUUAACACCACAAAUCUGCAUGAAAGUUAUGAGAUGAUGACUAGCCAUGACGGGUUAGUUAAGAACCCAUCACGGCUAAACAGAUUUAUGGGAGUCAACGGGCAAAGAAAGGAUCUAGAUCAGUUGAUUGAUUCCGGAUUCUACAAGCAGCUGUUUGGAAGGGCCAUUGUUCUCUCAAGUUUUCAAAUAAAAUACUGUAAGCUUAAGCUAAAGCUAUAUUCAGAUGAUCAAAAUUCAUCAAUGUAAAGCCUGAUAACUAUAAUUGGCC